RNAcentral lists this small nucleolar RNA (132 nucleotides) under Lanius ludovicianus. Its description in RNAcentral is "Small nucleolar RNA SNORA22". It matches the Rfam family "Small nucleolar RNA SNORA22". Rfam says of the family: ACA22 is a member of the H/ACA class of snoRNA that guide the sites of modification of uridines to pseudouridines. Lineage: Eukaryota; Metazoa; Chordata; Aves; Passeriformes; Laniidae. The record is from Rfam by way of RNAcentral. RNAcentral also lists the same sequence under 3 other names.
CUGCACAGCGAACACCCAAGUGUGCUUUGUAGUUCCCUUGGUUUCAGUUCUGUGCUAAAUUAAUCUGUACUUUUCCUCUGCAUUGGAAGGAUUUGCAUUCCUUUUACAUGUAUUCAGAAGGACAGAACACCU